This 433-nucleotide ribosomal RNA is filed under the name uncultured bacterium. RNAcentral's name for it is "bacterial SSU rRNA". It matches the Rfam family "Bacterial small subunit ribosomal RNA", at positions 8 to 455 of the family's 1533-position model. The record is from RNAcentral.
AGAGUUUGAUCCUGGCUCAGAAUCAACGCUGGCGGCGCGCUUAACACAUGCAAGUCGAACGAGAAAGGGGAGCAAUCCCUGAGUAAAGUGGCAGACGGGUGAGUAACACGUGGGUAAUCCACUCCUCGGUAGGGGAUAACCCUGGGAAACCGGGGCUAAUACCGCAUAAGUCCGAGAGGAGAAAGGCGAAAGUCGCCGAGGAAGGAGCCCGCGGCCGAUUAGCUAGUUGGUAGGGUAAAGGCCUACCAAGGCUUUGAUCGGUAGCCGGCCUGAGAGGGCACACGGCCACACUGGCACUGAGACACGGGCCAGACUCCUACGGGAGGCAGCAGUGGGGAAUCUUGCACAAUGGGGGAAACCCUGAUGCAGCGACGCCGCGUGAGCGAUGAAGCCCUUCGGGGUGUAAAGCUCUUUCGACGGGAACGAUUAAGAC